Molecule: small nuclear RNA, 126 nt
Organism: Amblyraja radiata (thorny skate)
Lineage: Eukaryota; Metazoa; Chordata; Chondrichthyes; Rajiformes; Rajidae
Source: RefSeq, a predicted model, not a curated record
UUCCUUCCCGAAAGGAGAGGUCAGCACACUCCUUGAUAAGCAUGGAAGGGGACCCUGGUGGCCUUGCAACCCACUAAUGAUUAUGGCCAUUGCCAUCUACUUAAUGCCAUCUAACCAUGUAUGCCC